AACGCACAUUGCGCCCGCCAGUAUUCUGGCGGGCAUGCCUGUUCGAGCGUCAUUUCAACCCUCAAGCCCUACCUUGUGAACGGCUUGGUGUUGGGGAUCGGCAGCUUUGCCGUCCCCUAAAAGUAUUGGCGGCCCUCCGAGGCGACCUCUGCGUAGUAACUUACCUCGCACUGGGAAGCUUGGAGAGGCCACGCCGUAAAACCCCCGACUUUUAUAAGGUUGACCUCGAAUCAGGUAGGACUACCCGCUGAACUUAA
This 257-nucleotide unclassified non-coding RNA is filed under the name uncultured fungus. Its description in RNAcentral is "sequence contains ITS2". The stretch from base 1 to 52 matches the Rfam family "5.8S ribosomal RNA", at positions 103 to 154 of the family's 154-position model. The record is from RNAcentral. Lineage: Eukaryota; Fungi.